AGGACUAACGCUGGCGGCGUGCCUAACACAUGCAAGUCGAACGAGAGUAGCAAUACUCUAGUGGCAGACGGGUGAGUAACACGUGGUCAACCUUCCCUAGCGUGGGGGAUAACUAGCCGAAAGGUUAGCUAAUACCGCAUGACAUCGUCGAGUGGCAUCAUUUGACGAUCAAAGGAGCAAUCCGCGCAAGGACGGGACCGCGUCCCAUUAGCUAGUUGGUGAGGUAACGGCCCACCAAGGCUUCGAUGGGUAGCUGGUUUGAGAGAGCGACCAGCCACACUGGGACUGAGACACGGCCCAGACUCCUACGGGAGGCAGCAGUGAGGAAUUUUCCGCAAUGGGCGAAAGCCUGACGGAGCGACGUCGCGUGUGGGAAGAAGGCCUUCGGGUCGUAAACCACUGUCGAAGGGGAAGAUAUUGACGGUACCCUUGGAGGAAGCCCCGGCUAACUACGCGCCAGCAGCCGC
Molecule: ribosomal RNA, 467 nt
Filed under: uncultured bacterium
Lineage: Bacteria
Description: SSU rRNA
Rfam family: Bacterial small subunit ribosomal RNA
Source: RNAcentral